Molecule: ribosomal RNA, 494 nt
Filed under: uncultured bacterium
Lineage: Bacteria
Description: partial 16S ribosomal RNA
Rfam family: Bacterial small subunit ribosomal RNA
Source: RNAcentral
GACGAACGCUGGCGGCGCGCUUAACACAUGCAAGUCGAACGGUGAAGCGCCUUCCUUUUUGGUGGGUGUGGAUGAGUGGCGAACGGGUGAGUAACACGUGAGUAACCUGCCCCCUUCUUCUGGAUAACCGCAUGAAAGUGUGGCUAAUACGGGAUAUUCUGGGUCUGUCGCAUGAUGGGUCUGGGAAAGAUAUUGUUUCGGUGGGGGAUGGGCUCGCGGCCUAUCAGCUUGUUGGUGGGGUGAUGGCCUACCAAGGCGGUGACGGGUAGCCGGCCUGAGAGGGUGGACGGUCACACUGGGACUGAGACACGGCCCAGACUCCUACGGGAGGCAGCAGUGGGGAAUAUUGCACAAUGGGCGCAAGCCUGAUGCAGCGACGCCGCGUGAGGGAUGGAGGCCUUCGGGUUGUGAACCUCUUUCGCCAGUGAAGCAGGCCUGCCUCGUUUGUGGGUGGGUUGACGGUAGCUGGAGAAGAAGCGCCGGCUAACUACGUG